Long non-coding RNA from Papaver somniferum (opium poppy), 2845 nucleotides. RefSeq lists it as uncharacterized. The transcript has 7 exons. The record is from RefSeq and is a predicted model, not a curated record. NCBI's taxonomy places the organism in Eukaryota, Viridiplantae, Streptophyta, Magnoliopsida, Ranunculales, Papaveraceae.
GCGUAAGACCCCGGUGAUACCUAGUCACUGUAAUCAAAAAAGGUGGUCUUUGAUUUUGAGAUUUGAGAGUCAUUAGACGGAUAGGAUUUGCCGGGAUCCUGAUCCGGCGGUCGGAAUCAUCUUGAUCGAGCUAUGACUUGGACGACUGUGAAUGAUAGGCUAUGUUACGGGAAUGCCAUUUAUGGAACCAGCUAGAGCCCUAAAUUAUCUUUUCGUUUAUCUGGAGUUAAUCUGAUUCAUACCCUCUUUCUUUUUCUGCUACUACGAUCCUUCUCCUCUCUCGAAGACAAUUCCUCCGUUUUUAUUUUUGCGAUAUAUGUUUGCAGGAAAUUUAGUAGGCUAAAUUUAAUCAGGAAUACGAUGCAGAGGAAAAUAACAAGAAGGCAUGUGGCUGGAAGAGGAAAUAGAUUCCGCUUUUGAUAGCUUAUAUCCAGGAAAGACACCUGGAUUUAAAGGAAGUUGCGGAUCAAAUGCACAUGGGAAUAGGUCUGAAAAGUUUCAAGGUGUUGGGAUUGCUUUGCGUUGUUGUAGCUGUUCUUACGACUUCUAAGAUAAGUCCUCUUUUUAAGGCAAUUAUGAAUGAAUUAGUAUUUUUUUAUGUGGAACUGUUUUUGGGAGGAUGGAGUAUUUUAGAUGCCUGUGUAGGAUUAUUUAAGCAUUCUAACUCUUUAGCUGGAGCUCUAGAUUUUUUUGAUGGCUUAGGAUCAAACUGAAAACUUACGGUCAUUUGGUUUCCAUGAGAUAUCCAUGUACAAUUUAAUUUCUUAUGAAUAUAAGAUCAAACAAGCAUACAAAAGAGUUUACAUAUUAGUCAUUUGCAGAAGAAUGCAGAUGGUAGGUUACUCGCAUACUGCUUCACCAAUCGUCUGGCGUAGUUGCGCCUGUGAGUAAUUGUAUGGUUGAUGCAUUGAGGAUAACAAUAUGGAAUGAAGGUUUUGGAGCAUUGGGAAAGAGUUCGAUUGGUGAAGCUUUGCUUUGCUGUGUCAUAAGCUGAAAACAGAUCCCGAUCACUGAUCGAUUUGUAUGCUUUCAAAGCCAUUCCUUGGUGCGGAUUAUGCACACAACAAAAUAUUGAUCCAUAAACUACAACUUUCUAUUGUUCCGGCGGUGUUAAUUUGACAUACAAACACUCGGAAUGAGGUUAUUCCUGCUUCUGGUAGGAGCAUCUCAUGUCAUUUUGAACAGCACCAGGUGAUCAUUACUCAAGACUGAAACAAUUAGGGAAAAACGAAAAUGGUAAGUGAAAUCUCUAUAUUAAUACGGUUGGAAUUGUGUUUUUCUUUCUAAUUAUUCCAGAUUUACCUCUGUAAAUGCCGCUUCUUAACAAAACCUUAUUCUCUUAGGUGAAUUUGUGAGCGCCAUAGUAAUUUCAAUGAUUGGUAGAAAUUAAAAAAUAAAUGCACCAAAUUUUCAGCAGUCACAUAGUCUUUUUCCAUCUCAAGAAAAUGAAUGAAGUAUGUCAACAAUAGAAUUAACUUCAUACUGUCGACCCGUGUCUGGAAAUCCUAGGUUACUAAUGGGAGAAAAGAAACUCGGACACAAGGGACUUAAAUUACGAAAUGUCGUUAAGUUUUGCCUACCCGCAUCUUGAAAGGCUAGGUUACUCACAUAUGUUAUAAUUAAUGUGUGUGAGUUAAGUGAGUAUCUCGAACACAGAUGCCUAGAUAAAGCACACUUUGGUAUGGUAAUCUUAUAUUCAUAUAAAUGGAUAGUGUGGUCUUGAUGCUUGCUAAUAAUCAUUAGUUGCUGCAUCAGGGAUUUCAGUUUGGGAUCCAUCUUUUGAUGUAACCACCAGUGGCUACAUCAAAAGAGAAGGCACUCUUCAAAUUCUAAUAACCGAUAGUUGGAUUAUGCUUGCUAAUCCGACUAUCGUAGAAAAGUUAACAGUUUCAGAUGCAGAUUUUCAUUGUCACGGAGCCACACCUUCGCAUCAUUGUUAUGUACAGUUGCAUUCAUUUCCCUGUGAAUGAAUUUGUUGUUUAAUCCCCUGGGAAAAGUGUCUCAAUGCGUAUGUAAUUCCCGAGUUUAUAUUCUAUAAAGCCAGCGUUUAAUAUUAUUAAUAAGUUGAAUUGGGGAAGAAGCGGAAGUAAAUUUUGCGAGGACGACCAUUGGAUAUCAGUAGGCUGUCUUGGUUGAUAUAUGCCUCUCAACUACUGAACUCCAACAUCAGAAUGACAUGCUGACAAAAGAACUUACAAAGGACACACUUGGACAACUUGAAUUAGAUUUUUUUUUGAAGCACAACUUGAAUUAGAUGAUUUCACCUUUGUCGAAUGUUCUUCACCCUAGAUCUUAAAUAAGGGUUCCCUAACAUAGGGAUCAGGGAGCAUCAAGCAUGUCUUGAGAAUACUCGAGCACCAUGUAAGAGAUGCCUUGGCCGAAGGUUGGAAUAAUCUGUGAAACUCUAUGAAAUGGUGUUGAUAAUUAAGCCCAUAAUGUCCGCCGGGAUGUACAAUAUUAGGUUUCUGGAGGGUUUAGCCAUUUUGUUUGUUGAUAUUAUAUUUUUAAACACUGAGUUUUGUAUGAAUGUUUCACUUGGAAAGCAGAUGUACAUUGCCUAUGCAUACUCUUCUAUCAACAAUGGAAAAAUGCAUCUGGCUUUGAAUAAAAUGAAGACUAUCAACUUAUAGUUGAGAAUUCCAUCUUCUAUACCGAGCGCAGACAAAAUUUGAGAUUUUUUGUCGAUGAACCUGCUUUUACCGAUCUUUGCACAGAAAAAACUCUCGGCAAUGUCUGUAAUAUUCAAGGAUUUGAGAUAACUGCUACGAUUGAUUAGAAACUAACGAGUUUGUCCUACACAUGCCCUCCGUAAAAGUUAGUGGUGCUCAAACUCUCGAAGAUGUCU